Molecule: long non-coding RNA, 561 nt
Filed under: Phoenix dactylifera (date palm)
Lineage: Eukaryota; Viridiplantae; Streptophyta; Magnoliopsida; Arecales; Arecaceae
Description: long non-coding RNA (PDAC_LNC021489)
Source: RNAcentral
CCAUAGGUCUUCCACCGUAGUAGAGCUGCUAAGAUCUUUCCGGCGUUGAUUUGUCUCGGCUGGAUACAGUGGGCAAGUUGCAUCGGGGGAUUGGACCUCUCUAUUAGGCAUGAGAUGUUGUAGGGGUAAAGAUAGGGUUGGGCUCAAUAACUGUUAGGUGAGGGACCCAAUGAUGGCUUUGCUUCUGCGGUUAUACGGUGGGUCCGACUUAACUAAGGAAUGGGGCCAAUAACUGUUAGGUGAGAUCUUCAUUACUUAGAGACCUGAUAGCGCUACAACUUGCUUGAGAAGCAUUGUACAAGAGUUGUACACUCAUCAUUUAUAUGUCACCAAUAACUGUUAGGUGAGGUGGCAUGUAAAUUGGUGGGACCGUAGCACCCCACUUGAAACCUAGAGUCGCAAGGUUUCCGUUUCUCUACCAGAGAAGUGUGAGAGAUUCGAGGAAAUAGUGGGAGGUGUAUUUGUUUUAAAAAAAAAGGCCCUAAAACAAAUAGAGUUCAAGUACAAAAUUCUAACUAGAAUCUUUACUCUCUGAUGAUUAUAAAGUCAGCUUCUAGACUC